This 66-nucleotide transfer RNA is filed under the name Scolytinae sp. BMNH 1274291. RNAcentral describes it as "tRNA-Tyr". Lineage: Eukaryota; Metazoa; Arthropoda; Insecta; Coleoptera; Curculionidae. The record is from RNAcentral.
GGUAAAGUGGCUGAGUAUAGGCGGUAAAUUGUAAAUUUACUAACAAGAAUAAUUCUUUUUUAUCAA